AGACGGGAAGGAACUAACAUAUUCAAGCUUACUUCUGGCUGUGUCACUGACCCAACAGAGGCCAGUAGGUCCAGCAUGGCAAGCAUGGCUCCAGGAUGAAUGAUGACUGCAUCAGAACUCUGGAGAGAUGAAGUUGUCACAUGUAGUUUCAGGUCUGAGAAGCAGCCAAGAAAUCGAACAGCAUCUGCCAACUUCUCAUACUGAAUCUCUGUUUUGAAGAAAUGAGAGUUGGCUGGCUCAUAGCGCAUUGCUGCAGUCAACGUGCAGAACACAGUGUGAAGAAGUUCAAACACUUGAUUCUGGUUCACUUUCUCCCAGCCAUUCUUGGGUGGACAGCUCAAAGAUCUUUCCAUAGCAACGAGCAAGGAUGUAAUGUACACAAAUCCUCCAACUUUCCUAAAAACUGUUCUUGAACGAUGGCUUUCUCGAAGGACCGACAGGAGGGCCUACAGGAGACAAAAGAAAAAAACAAACGAAAAUACACAUAAUUCAAA
This 494-nucleotide non-coding RNA is filed under the name Pongo abelii (Sumatran orangutan). The record is from RNAcentral. Lineage: Eukaryota; Metazoa; Chordata; Mammalia; Primates; Hominidae.